Molecule: non-coding RNA, 66 nt
Filed under: Vibrio aquimaris
Lineage: Bacteria; Pseudomonadati; Pseudomonadota; Gammaproteobacteria; Vibrionales; Vibrionaceae
Source: RNAcentral
UUUGACACGACAUUGCUCACAUUGCUUCCAGUGUAAUUUAUAGCUUUAUGAUAAAGCGUAUUGUUC